UACGAAGGGUGCAAACGUUGCUCGGAAUUAUUGAGCGUAAAGCGCACGUAGGCGGCUUGGCAAGUCGGAUGUGAAAUCCCUCGGCUCAACCAAGGAAGUGCAUCCGAAACUGCUGAGCUUGAGUUCUUAAGAGGAUCGCGGAAUUCCCGGUGUAGAGGUGAAAUUCGUAGAUAUCGGGAGGAACACCAGUGGCGAAGGCGGCGAUCUGGGAAGAUACUGACACUAAAAAACGAAAGCGUGGAGAGCAAACAGG
RNAcentral lists this ribosomal RNA (253 nucleotides) under uncultured bacterium. RNAcentral's name for it is "partial 16S ribosomal RNA". It matches the Rfam family "Bacterial small subunit ribosomal RNA", at positions 524 to 776 of the family's 1533-position model. The record is from RNAcentral.